GAGGACCGAACCGACUAAUGUUGAAAAAUUAGCGGAUGACCUGUGGCUGGGGGUGAAAGGCCAAUCAAACCGGGAGAUAGCUGGUUCUCCCCGAAAGCUAUUUAGGUAGCGCCUCGUGAAUUCAUCUCCGGGGGUAGAGCACUGUUUCGGCUAGGGGGCCAUCCCGGCUUACCAACCCGAUGCAAACUGCGAAUACCGGAGAAUGUUAUCACGGGAGACACACGGCGGGUGCUAACGUCCGUCGUGAAGAGGGAAACAACCCAGACCGCCAGCUAAGGUCCCAAAGUCAUGGUUAAGUGGGAAACGAUGUGGGAAGGCCCAGACAGCCAGGAUGUUGGCUUAGAAGCAGCCAUCAUUUAAAGAAAGCGUAAUAGCUCACUGGUCGAGUCGGCCUGCGCGGAAGAUGUAACGGGGCUAAACCAUGCACCGAAGCUGCGGCAGCGACACUGUGUGUUG
RNAcentral lists this ribosomal RNA (456 nucleotides) under Salmonella enterica. RNAcentral describes it as "partial 23S ribosomal RNA". It matches the Rfam family "Bacterial large subunit ribosomal RNA", at positions 769 to 1223 of the family's 2925-position model. Lineage: Bacteria; Pseudomonadati; Pseudomonadota; Gammaproteobacteria; Enterobacterales; Enterobacteriaceae. The record is from RNAcentral.